This is an RNA transcript of Diceros bicornis minor, 2522 nucleotides long. It is a transcript of the gene named ubiquitin C-terminal hydrolase L5, with no coding region annotated. The record is from RefSeq and is a predicted model, not a curated record. Lineage: Eukaryota; Metazoa; Chordata; Mammalia; Perissodactyla; Rhinocerotidae. The transcript has 12 exons.
GGGAGCGUCCGGGCCCGGCCGAACGCGGAUGUCCCUACCGCGAUGGGCACGGCGAGGGGAACGAGGGUCUGGCGAAGCGUCUGCUCCGGCCUGGACCACUGGGAUGCGGGGUUGCCGAGGAGCUCAAGUAGAAGAAAUAUGGAGUUUGGAGCCUGAGAAUUUUGAAAAAUUAAAGCCAGUUCAUGGGUUAAUUUUUCUUUUCAAGUGGCAGCCGGGAGAAGAACCAGCGGGCUCUGUGGUUCAGGACUCCAGACUUGACACGAUAUUUUUCGCCAAGCAGGUAAUUAACAAUGCUUGUGCUACUCAAGCCAUAGUAAGUGUGUUACUGAACUGUACCCAUCAAGAUGUCCAUUUAGGAGAGACAUUAUCAGAAUUUAAGGAAUUUUCACAAAGUUUUGAUGCAGCUAUGAAAGGUUUGGCACUGAGCAAUUCAGAUGUGAUUCGACAAGUACACAACAGUUUCGCCAGACAACAAAUGUUUGAAUUUGAUGCGAAGACAUCAGCAAAAGAAGAAGAUGCUUUUCACUUUGUCAGUUAUGUUCCUGUUAAUGGAAGGCUGUAUGAAUUAGAUGGAUUAAGAGAAGGACCGAUUGAUUUAGGUGCAUGCAAUCAAGAUGACUGGAUCAGCGCAGUGAGGCCAGUCAUAGAAAAAAGGAUACAAAAGUACAGUGAAGGUGAAAUUCGGUUUAACUUAAUGGCCAUUGUGUCUGACAGAAAAAUGAUAUAUGAACAGAAGAUAGCAGAGUUGCAAAGACAGCUUGCUGAGGAGGAACCCAUGGAUACAGAUCAGGGUAAUAAUAUGUUAAGUGCUAUUCAGUCGGAAGUUGCCAAAAAUCAGAUGCUUAUUGAAGAAGAAGUACAGAAAUUAAAAAGAUAUAAGAUUGAAAAUAUCAGAAGGAAGCAUAAUUAUCUGCCUUUCAUUAUGGAAUUGUUAAAGACUUUAGCAGAACACCAGCAGUUAAUACCACUAGUAGAAAAGAUAUUCUGAUAUAGGGGAAGGAAUCUUUAAUAAGUUCCCCCAAGUGAUUUAAUGCAGCUGGUCUGUGUACCACAUUUUGAGAAACACUUUGAGAAGACACUACUAGGCAAAUAAAAUUUUGGACCAUUAACUUAAAGACCAGAAUACAUGGCAAAAGAAAAACAGAAUGCAAAGAAAGCACAGGAAACCAAAUGAAGAAGAUGCUUUGGGAUGUGUACACAUUUCUGCUUCUGUACUUAUUUUCAUGGAAACCAUUAAUUAUAAAGAACUUUGAGCAACAUCCUAAUUGACUCAGUGCACGUUUGGCAGUAGUACCAGUCUGUCUCGUCUUUAAUGCAUGGAUUCAUAAACUUUUUCCCUACCUGCAUUGUGUGCAUGUAGUGCCUAUUAGGUAAAAGUGAUGUUAAGAGUGCUUGCUCAAAUUCCGUUAUUUGACAUUGGUACUCUUGUUGAUUCUCUGGAUAUGUAACUACCGUAAUGAACCUAGAAAAUGCACAAAUGAUGUUCUCUACCUGUAAUUGUUAUAAUUAAUCUUUUGAUCUUUUAGCUCAGUUAAAUGCUUAAAAUUUAUAAAUAUCAGAUCUUGAUUAAACUGUAUCUUGUUUCUUCUCAUCAUUAAUGGGAAAAAAUCAGUCUUUCUGUCUUUGAUAUCUAACUAUUUUGAGGAUUAUAAAACUGAAUUUUAUCUCCUAUACCAGUUAUUGCAAAAAGUGUAAUUUUAAUGCAGAUCAUUGAAAAGGACAAAAGUACAGUUUCUAGUGAUUUUCAUUGCUGCCAGUAGAAAAAAUAAUAAACAUCCCAAUUUUAUUUUAGCAAACUUUCUGUAAGUGUUUGGGGUUAUGUAUGUUUUGUAGAGUUGUUUCAGGAAGGUGUGAGUAAUGUGCUUCAAAGUUUCAGGUUAAGAACAAAUUGUAAAUCUUAAAGAUUUUUGGUGUCAUUCUCAGUUUGGCAACAUGUUUUCAAGCUGUUAAGCUGUAUCUUUAUAAAAAAUCAGAGGUUUCACAAUUCAGGCUAUCUGCUUUUUAAAAAAAGGAUAAUGGUUGUGGAGGAGGAUUCUUCUGUGCCAAUCUGAACAAAAUUACUGUAGCCCAGUAGUUUCCAUGAGCCAUGUACAGUUUACCCACAGUGGAGUUUUUUUUAAUUGCUUUGAGGAGUUGCUUUGUUUUUUUAUUUUAUAAAAUAAUAUUGUAUUCUUGCUCCUAAUCGUCUUUUCCAAGUUAAACUUUAAAAGAGAUUUUAUAAAACUUCUUUUUAUAAAGGAAAUAAUCUACUUUUUUUCCCCCUAGGCACAUUUCUGAAAUUAAUGCAUGACUUUUUAACAGUUUAUUAUGGAAAAGUUUAAAUGUAUGUAAGGAGACUGUGUACCCAUCUUCUAGCUUCAAACACAUGAAGUUUUUAGGGAUUAUUUUUAAGCGUACUACACUGUGGUAUUAUUAAAUAACUAAGUUGAGAAAACCUGGUGGGAAAUGGAAUAGAAAAAUUAAUGAAAUAUUUUUCAUACAUAAUUUCAGUUGAAGGUAAUAAAGAAUAAUUUGUACUUUUU